AGUAACUUUUUCAAUCCAAAACAUUAAAUUUAAGACGAGGAAACUAGUAUUAUUGCAGAAAUCCAAAUAUUUUUCAAGAAAAACUUGAUCUGAUGCUUGAUGGCAUUUUGAUGCAGGGUUUCAUCUGUGUCAGUUCGGUGACUAAAGGUUCUGCGGCCGACCGUUGUGGGAUUGGCCGCCUCUUGGAAGAGGCAAAGGCAACCAACUAUCUCCUGUUGAUUUCCCGAUUAGAAGGAAAGAGCGUAAUCCCAUCAAAUGUAAGCUCUACUGGGCUAAUUAACUGCUGCGACCAAGCCGAGAUAAGAAGCACUCUUGUUUCUGUUGAGAGCUGUGUAGGCCUGCAACACUUCCUUUUUAAGUUUUGUUUCCUGAUUGUUGUUACAUCCACUUUCUCAAUCAUAAUAUCCCUUCAAAACUAAAGUUAGCACACCCUUACAACUGAAGGAUCCUAACAUAUCUGAACUGGAUGAAACUGGCGUCCAUUAGUUACUUAGAUUAUCUUCAAAAGGAUGGCCUUCUGUUGCUAUCAUACAAGGAAAACAGAUAGAGGAUUCAAUUCAAACACUUCAUUAUCUCUCACUGUGCAGACUGAAUCAUCAAAGCACAAAGCUUGUUUGUUUGUUUUGUUCUCCCCACG
Molecule: unclassified non-coding RNA, 637 nt
Filed under: Hevea brasiliensis (rubber tree)
Lineage: Eukaryota; Viridiplantae; Streptophyta; Magnoliopsida; Malpighiales; Euphorbiaceae
Source: RNAcentral